Molecule: ribosomal RNA, 274 nt
Filed under: uncultured bacterium
Lineage: Bacteria
Description: partial 16S ribosomal RNA
Rfam family: Bacterial small subunit ribosomal RNA
Source: RNAcentral
AUACGAAAGCUGCAAGCGUUGUUCGGAUUUACUGGGCGUAAAGAGAGUGUAGGUGGUUUAUUAAGUCGGAUGUGAAAUCCCGGGGCUCAACCUCGGAACUGCAUUCGAUACUGAUAGGCUAGAGUUUGGGAGGGGUAAGCGGAAUUCCGUGUGUAGCAGUGAAAUGCGUAGAUAUACGGAGGAACACCUGAGGCGAAGGCGGCUUACUGGACCAAUACUGACACUGAGACUCGAAAGCGUGGGUAGCAAACAGGAUUAGAAACCCCAGUAGUCC